This 433-nucleotide ribosomal RNA is filed under the name uncultured bacterium. RNAcentral's name for it is "partial 16S ribosomal RNA". It matches the Rfam family "Bacterial small subunit ribosomal RNA", at positions 29 to 507 of the family's 1533-position model. The record is from RNAcentral.
AACGAACGCUGGCGGUAUGCCUAACACAUGCAAGUCGAACGAGACCUCCGUGACAACUGGCUCAUAGGUGCGUCAAGUGUCGGACCCUGCACUUAGACUCCGAAUUAUACUUUUUCAUGGGUGCUAAUAUCGGAUAAUGUAUUCGAAUAAAAGAUUUAUCGCCUUUGGAUGGGCCCGCGUUGGAUUAGCUAGUUGGUAGGGUAAAAGCCUACCAAGGCGACGAUCCAUAGCUGGUCUGAGAGGAUGAUCAGCCACACUGGGACUGAGACACGGCCCAGACUCCUACGGGAGGCAGCAGUGGGGAAUAUUGGACAAUGGGCGAAAGCCUGAUCCAGCAAUGCCGCGUGAGUGAUGAAGGCCUUAGGGUUGUAAAGCUCUUUUACCCGGGAUGAUAAUGACAGUACCGGGAGAAUAAGCUCCGGCUAACUCCGUG